GACGAACGCUGGCGGCGUGCCGUAACACAUGCAAGUCGAACGGAGCAGAUCCCUUCGGGGGUUUGCUUAGUGGCGAACGGGUGAGUAACGCGUGAGGAACCUGCCCUGGAGUGGGGGAUAACAGUUGGAAACGACUGCUAAUACCGCAUAAGCCCACGGCCCGGCAUCGGGUUGAGGGGAAAGGAUUUAUUCGCUUCAGGAUGGACUCGCGUCCAAUUAGCUAGUUGGUGAGGUAACGGCCCACCAAGGCGACGAUUGGUAGCCGGACUGAGAGGUUGAACGGCCACAUUGGGACUGAGACACGGCCCAG
RNAcentral lists this ribosomal RNA (310 nucleotides) under uncultured bacterium. RNAcentral describes it as "bacterial SSU rRNA". It matches the Rfam family "Bacterial small subunit ribosomal RNA", at positions 28 to 334 of the family's 1533-position model. The record is from RNAcentral.